GAAAAGGGGUGGGAGGGAGCCGCGGGACAGCUGAGGUGUGAGACGUUGUGUGGGAUUAGUCGGCGUAAAGCGCGCGCAGGCGGUCCUUUAAGGCGGAUGUGAAAGCCCACGGCUCAACCGUGGAUGGUCAUUGGAAACUGGGGGACGUGAGUGCAGAAGAGGAAAGCGGAAUUCCACGUGUAGCGGUGAAAUGCGUAGAGAUGUGGAGGAACACCAGUGGCGAAGGCGGCUUUCUGGUCUGUAACUGACGCUGAGGCGCGAAAGCGUGGGGAGCAAACAGGAUUAGAUACCCCAGUAGUC
This 300-nucleotide ribosomal RNA is filed under the name uncultured Ignicoccus sp. RNAcentral describes it as "bacterial SSU rRNA". The stretch from base 52 to 300 matches the Rfam family "Bacterial small subunit ribosomal RNA", at positions 547 to 795 of the family's 1533-position model. The record is from RNAcentral. Lineage: Archaea; Thermoproteati; Thermoproteota; Thermoprotei; Desulfurococcales; Desulfurococcaceae.